AUGAACGCUGGCGGCGUGCCUAAUACAUGCAAGUCGAGCGAACAGGCGAGGAGCUUGCUCCUCUGACGUUAGCGGCGGACGGGUGAGUAACACGUGGAUAACCUACCUAUAAGACUGGGAUAACUUCGGGAAACCGGAGCUAAUACCGGAUAAUAUAUUGAACCGCAUGGUUCAAUAGUGAAAGACGGUUUUGCUGUCACUUAUAGAUGGAUCCGCGCCGCAUUAGCUAGUUGGUAAGGUAACGGCUUACCAAGGCGACGAUGCGUAGCCGACCUGAGAGGGUGAUCGGCCACACUGGAACUGAGACACGGUCCAGACUCCUACGGGAGGCAGCAGUAGGGAAUCUUCCGCAAUGGGCGAAAGCUUGACGGAGCAACGCCGCGUGAGUGAUGAAGGUCUUCGGAUCGUAAAACUCUGUUAUUAGGGAAGAACAAAUGUGUAAGUAACUAUGCACGUCUUGACGGUACCUAAUCAGAAAGCCACGGCUAACUACGUG
This 496-nucleotide ribosomal RNA is filed under the name uncultured bacterium. Its description in RNAcentral is "partial 16S ribosomal RNA". It matches the Rfam family "Bacterial small subunit ribosomal RNA", at positions 29 to 507 of the family's 1533-position model. The record is from RNAcentral.